RNAcentral lists this ribosomal RNA (408 nucleotides) under uncultured bacterium. Its description in RNAcentral is "partial 16S ribosomal RNA". It matches the Rfam family "Bacterial small subunit ribosomal RNA", at positions 28 to 526 of the family's 1533-position model. The record is from RNAcentral.
GAUGAACGCUGGCGGCGUGCUUAACACAUGCAAGUCGAACGAAGUGGCGAACGGGUGAGUAACGCGUAAUCAACCUGCCCUUCAGAGGGGGAAAACAGUUGGAAACGACUGCUAAUACAGCAUACUGAAGGAGGGGCUUGCGUCUGAUUAGCUAGUUGGGGGGGUAACGGCCAACCAAGGCGAUGAUCAGUAGCCGGGCUGAGAGGAUGAACGGCCAAAUUGGGACUGAGAACCGGCCCAGACUCCUACGGGAGGCAGCAGUGGGGAAUCUUCCGCAAUGGACGAAAGUCUGACGGAUCAACGCCGCGUGAGUGAUGACGGCCUUCGGGUUGUAAAGCUCUGUUAAUCGGGACGCGGUACCGGAAUAGAAAGCCACGGCUAACUACGUGCCAGCCGCCGCGGUAAUAC